Molecule: ribosomal RNA, 500 nt
Filed under: uncultured bacterium
Lineage: Bacteria
Description: partial 16S ribosomal RNA
Rfam family: Bacterial small subunit ribosomal RNA
Source: RNAcentral
AUUGAACGCUGGCGGCAGGCUUAACACAUGCAAGUCGAGCGGGGGAGGUAGCUUGCUACUGAUCUUAGCGGCGGACGGGGGAGUAAUGCUUAGGUAUCUGCCUAUUAGUGGGGGACAAACUUUCGAAAGGAAUGCUAAUACCGCAUACGUCCUAAGGGAGAAAGCAGGGGAUCUUCGGACCUUGCGCUAAUAGAUUAGCCUAAGGCGGAUUAGCUAGUUGGUGGGGUAAAGGACUACCAAGGCGACGAUCUGUAGCGGGUCUGAGAGGAUGAUCCGCCACACUGGGACUGAGACACGGCCCAGACUCCUACGGGAGGCAGCAGUGGGGAAUAUUGGACAAUGGGCGGAAGCCUGAUCCAGCCAUGCCGCGUGUGUGAAGAAGGCCUUAUGGUUGUAAAGCACUUUAAGCGAGGAGGAGGCUACUUUAGUUAAUACCUAGAGAUAGUGGACGUUACUCGCAGAAUAAGCACCGGCUAACUCUGUGCCAGCCGCCGCAGUAA